CUUCUUUCGAGAUAGUAAUUCUUUGCUUCUCUACAAGCUAGCAACUUUUAUGAUAUGCAAGUUUUACUACAUAGAAGCUAGCAAAUUUAAAGAUGUGCAAGUUGGCAUAUUUGCUUUUCUUUGCAAUGUGCAUGAUAGUAUUUAUUUGUAAUGUUCAAGAUAGCAAAUUGUACAUCAUGCUAGCUAGCAAAUUAAAGAUGUUCAAGAAAGCAAGCUCU
Molecule: long non-coding RNA, 218 nt
Filed under: Musa acuminata (dwarf banana)
Lineage: Eukaryota; Viridiplantae; Streptophyta; Magnoliopsida; Zingiberales; Musaceae
Description: long non-coding RNA (MACU_LNC000496)
Source: RNAcentral